This is a long non-coding RNA of Poecile atricapillus (Black-capped chickadee), 889 nucleotides long. RefSeq lists it as uncharacterized. Lineage: Eukaryota; Metazoa; Chordata; Aves; Passeriformes; Paridae. The transcript has 4 exons. The record is from RefSeq and is a predicted model, not a curated record.
GGCAAAAGGAGCAUCAACCUUGUGAAGAGGAAGAGAAGUUACAUGAGGUUUAUACAGAAAUUUCUAAAAAUCCAGCAUUCAGCCCCAGAAGAAAGAAAUCCACUUUUUAAUUAGAGCUGCAGCAGUUUCUAUAUCUAAGUCUGGCAGUGGAGGCUCAGCCCCGCCGCGUUGCCUGCGACAGCAGCAGCAAUAUGGGCUCAGUGGAGGUGCUGACGUCUCAGAGCAGUGAAGAGAUCUCACCAGAGCAACGUCUGCCUUCGAGUAUCGGCUCUUCCAUGAGGGAAAAGAAUGCUUUGGGAAGCCCUGUUUCACCCUCCUUAGCCAGAGGUUAACAUGCUCAUUCUGCCCCGGUGGAAGUGGAGCUGGAAGAUUUUUGAGGUGCACCCCUGGACCAGAUGUGGCACCCCUUGCCCCACGUCCUGAUGACCUUUUCCUCAGCCUGUGGUUUGUGCCCGUGACUGCCACAUCCUCGGCGAGCAGGGAUUACCUUUUGCAAUCAGAUGUUAUAAAUGGAGCAUACUUAAACAGGCUUUCUCGUGGCUGUCACCCUUAUGAUAGAGGAAAAUAUUCUCCUGUCGUGUAUUUAUUAACAUUCUGCAUACAACAUCCAGAGCAGAGUAUCCCUCUGUCACCAGAUGCUGCGGGAAACUUGCCGCCUGGGCGGGCAGGAGGACUCAGCCUGGAGCGGGAGGUGAGGACCCUGUUAGCAGGGUGCCUGCAAGGGGAGGGAGGCAGUCAGCAGCCAGCCUGUCUUCAUCCCUGAUGUACUCUGCCCCAGGAGAAUACCAGCAGGCAGGACUGACCAAGGAUGGGGGAACACGCACUCCAUUCACUUGUCAUUUUCCUAGAGACUUUGGGGGUGUAAGAAGCCCAUGGUGGUACAAACAUG